Molecule: ribosomal RNA, 260 nt
Filed under: uncultured bacterium
Lineage: Bacteria
Description: partial 16S ribosomal RNA
Rfam family: Bacterial small subunit ribosomal RNA
Source: RNAcentral
GGGGAGGCGAGACCGCGAGGUCGAGCCAAUCUUAAAAAGUUAGUCUCAGUUCAGAUUGUUCUCUGCAACUCGAGAACAUGAAGUUGGAAUCGCUAGUAAUCGCGGAUCAGCAUGCCGCGGUAAAUACGUUCCCGGGUCUUGUACACACCACCCGUCACGCCAUGGGAGUUGGUUCUGCCUGACGGCGUUGAGGUAACCCGCAAGGGAGCCUGGCGACCACGGUAGGGUCGGCGACUGGGGCGAAGUCGUAACAAGGUACC